AAUAAUUGUAGUUUGACACUAUUCACGUUUAACGUUUAACCGUUCGUCUUAUUUAAAAUUUUUUUAUGAUUAGUAUUUUUAUUGCUAUUAGAUGAUAAAACAUGAAUAGUACUUUAUGUGUGACUAAAUAUUUUUAAAUUUUUCAUAAAUUUUUCAAAUAAGACGAACGAUCAAACAUUGAGCAUGAAUAUUCACGGCUGUACUUAUU
This is a non-coding RNA of Oryza glaberrima (African rice), 208 nucleotides long. The record is from Rfam. Lineage: Eukaryota; Viridiplantae; Streptophyta; Magnoliopsida; Poales; Poaceae.